GGGCGAGUGGCUCAGCUGGGAGAGCGCCGCGUUCGCAUCGCGGAGGCCGAGGGUUCGAAUCCCUUCUCGUCCA
RNAcentral lists this transfer RNA (73 nucleotides) under Clostridia bacterium. Its description in RNAcentral is "tRNA-Ala". It matches the Rfam family "tRNA". From Rfam's summary of the family: Transfer RNA (tRNA) molecules are approximately 80 nucleotides in length. Their secondary structure includes four short double-helical elements and three loops (D, anti-codon, and T loops). Lineage: Bacteria; Bacillati; Bacillota; Clostridia. The record is from RNAcentral. RNAcentral also lists the same sequence under 2 other names.